Pan paniscus (pygmy chimpanzee) is the source of this 2109-nucleotide long non-coding RNA. The record is from Ensembl. Lineage: Eukaryota; Metazoa; Chordata; Mammalia; Primates; Hominidae.
AGUAAUUUAUGAAACCAGUCACUCGUCCAGCAUAUAUUUAUUGAGUGUUUAUUAUGUGCCGGAUGCUGGAGUGACAAAAAAAUGAACAAGAUGUAGAUCCAGCCUUCAAGUGUAGCUGGUGAUUUUCCACAAAACCCUCUAUUAUUGUAUCUUAACAUCCAGGAGUCAGCCAGGAGUUACACUGAUCAUAAAUCGAUAACCUCAUUUCAAAGCUCAAACACAGAGAUGGCAAAUAAAGCCCUGGGCAGCACUGACUGAAGCAACAGAUGACUCAUUAAUAGCAGGAGGCAAUGAAUAACUUUGCCACUGAGAGUGAAAGAAAAUUCCCCCUUUGCACAAUGCCUUUCACUUAAAUAGCAUUUGGAUUUCUUAAAAUCCACAAAGUUUAUAUUAGAGCAUCAUCCAUUAAUGCUUUGGCUAGGAGGGAAGAACCGACUGCCGAGGAAAUUCAAAACACAUCCAUGAAAGCAGAAAAUUAUAAUGUGACAAGUGAAGAAUUGAAAUGGAUUCACCCUAAAAGCAGAGCCAAAUAUCAGCCAUUGUCAUGGGCCCCUAGGAGGACUGAGUCUGGUGAUGCACGAAUACCAGAAUGCAAGUGUGGUGCAAUGACAGCAAUAACACAUGUGUGCACCUUGAAGCCAGAGGGAUGGAAACCCCAGCCAAUGCCUCUUUCUCUUUUUCAGCCAUGUUUGCUUUCCAUAUGCUGGAUGAUGUGUAUGGAUUUUCAGUGUGUGUUUCAGAGUCUUAAAAGCUCAUGCUAGCUUGCUUAACAUACCUCUAUAACUCAUGAUAUAGAACCCUAGGGAGAACUGUGUUGCAACAUGGAUGCAGUGCCUAUACUAAGGCACACUGCCAACCUGAAGACUGUCAGAGAGCAUCACUAACGGAGGUAAGCCAGUAGGGUCUAAAAAUCUUCACAGAGAGAAGGUAUGACCGGAUGAUAGUCCAUUAAAUUGCGUUGAGGUGCAGCACUAUGUUCUAAAUUGGUGUACCCCACGAAUUUAUAUGUUGAGGCCUAAUACCCAAUGUGAUAGUAUUAAGAGGUAUGGCCUUUAGGAAGUGAUUAAGUCAUAAGGUGAGGGCUUGACCCUUAUGAAUGAGAAUAGUGACCUUAUAAAAGAGGCUUGAGUGAGCUCCCUGGCCCUUUUUUGCCAUGUAAGGAUGCAGCAACAAGUCACCAUCUAUUAAGCCAAUUACCAGACACCAAAUCUACUGGUGCUUUGAUGUUGGACUUCCCAGCCUCCAGACCUCUAAGAAAUAAAUCUCUGUUGUUUAUAAAUUACCGAGUCUAAAGUACUUUGUUAUAGCAGCCUGAAUAGACUAAGACAUGCAGCAAGUGAAUAGAUCACUCACUGUAGCCUGGAUCUGUCCUUCAUUAUGACAGGGUUAUUUCUCGUACUGGACAUAGGUCACCUUUGCUAACCUCUUACAGAAAUUCUAAACUUUGUGACAGGAAAUGCAGAAGUGUGAGAGAAGAACAAGGAGCUAUGUGAAGAAGAGAGAUGGAAAUGGAUUGAGACUGUUGAAAUAGGAGAAAAUAUCUUGGUUUUGACAUCAUUUCCAAAGAAUCAUAGUUAUCAAAUAAAAAAUUUCACAAUUAUCCAAAAUUAUAAUAAGAAUUCAGUGGCUGGCAAAAUGGCUGAAUAGGAACAGCUCUGGUGUGCAGCUCCCAGUGAGAUGAACACAGAAGAUGGGUAAUUUCUGCAUUUCCAACUGAGGUACUUGGCUCAUCUCUUUGGGACUGGCUAGACAGUGGGUGAAGCCCAUGGAGGGCAAGCUGAAGCAGGGUGGGACAUUGCCUUACCUGGGAAGUGCAAGGGGUCAGGGAACUCCCUCCCCUAGCCAAGGGAAGCCAUGAAGGACUCUGACAUGAGGAAUGGUGCACUCCUGCCCAGAUACUACGCUUUUCCCAUGGUCUAUGCAACCCACAGACCAGGAGAUUCCCUCGGGUGCCUAUGCCACCAGGGCCCUGAGUUUCAAGCAUAAAACUGGGCGGCCAUCCCAAGCUAGCUGCAGGAGUUUCUUUUCAUACCCCAGUGGUACCAGGAACAUUUAAGUCUGCUGAAGCUGCGCCCACAGCUGCCCCUUCCCCCAAGUGAUCUGUCCCAG